ACUGUUCAUGACUUCACCACACAAACUUCCCUCAUGUAUUGGGAGGGACCAAGGGGCUCUCUGGUUCUGCACCUGCGUUAAUUACCACCGGGAGGUGCACACUAGGACCCCAAGGCCUGGGACCAGUCUGGGUCGGGGCAGAGAAGCGGUGGAUGUGGCUCCCGAAGUGUCUUAGGGGCUCCCUUCCCUGUGGCUGUUUCCUGACUGGAUGCAGCAGGGUCAGGCCUUUCACUGUGACGUUUUCUACUCCUUAUUAGAGUGGCAGGAGCGUCCCUGUGAGAGGCCUGACCCAGGUGUGGGCCUUGCAGCCAGCCCCGUGUCCAAGGGGCACUCCUGGGAGUGCAGAGGAGGAUUUGUGACAGCCUAGAGGAUAGAGGAAAAGGUGGCUUUGAAAAGGUUUGUGAGCCGCUCCUGGUCCCCUGCUGCUCCGUGAGAAAUCAAACUUCUGGCAAUGACGAAGCAUGAAGCCAGCAUCUUAGGGAGAGGUAGUGACAUAAUUGCACGGGCGACCGGAUUACAAUCUCAGCCAGCAUGAACAGGGGGUGGCACGCAGUACUGAAGGGGGAAGCCGGGCUGUGCCGGCUUCGCUGUGCAUUCUGGGAGCUGUAGUCUCUUCACCGCUCCUGCCCGUUGUUUCAAGCGCUUCGGGACUACAAUCCCAGUAUUCCCCGGGCUCGGGGGCGGGGCGCAGUUCUCGUGGGAGGAGCGAGGCACCGCGCUCCUGGCCAGGCAAGCUGGAAACGGUAUCUCUUAACGGUUCCCUGCCCCUUGGUGGCAAGGCGGCUGGACUAGAAUCUCAGCAGGCGACAUGCGAGGAGGCGGGCAACCCAGGAGGGUUGGGCAAGGCAGUGUGGACCUCGACGCUUCCACAGCGAUGCUGGCUACUGAUCGCGGGCACCUCUUUGCCAUGGGAACCAGAGCGCAGUGCAGCCGCUAUGGCUAGAAAUCCGCCGCCUGGCCAGCCUGUGCACAAGUUCAGAGCUUUGCAGGGGGUGACAUGGACUGUGGCUUCGUGAAAAUGUCACCCUCACCAGCGCCUUUUUCGCAGAUAUGGAUGUUGAGGCGGCAGGGAGUGUCAUUAUUGGUUUACCCAGGAGAUGCUAAGAGCAGAGGAGAAAAUCUCACUUCCCAGGCGUGUCCUUGGUGCGCCAUUUCCCGCCAACCCAUUUGGUGGAAAGUUCGCCAAAUAGCUACCUAAAGAUGAAAAUGGUUUAGGCAUUUUACACGUGACAUCAAUGGCCUAAUCUCAACUGAGGCCUGACUGGGCAGUGUCUCAAAGACGCAGAUGGCGACCUGAUCCUCAGGAACAGGUGGUGCUCCAGCUUUGUGGAAGCCCAAGGUGUGGAGCACUUGGGGCAUCUUUGAAACUCCUCAGGCUUCACAACUUUGCUUUGAAUGGAAUGUUCAUCACCCCCGGCAUUCACGGAGUUACCUUUACUCUCUCGGGCUGAUCUGUUUAAUUUUUCUAUCUAGACAAUGGAAACUUCUGGGAGUACUUCUAGUUUUGUGUAGCUUCCUAAUCAUUGAUGUCCCUUAUUUCCAUAUGUCCUCAGGGACAGUUUUGAUUCUGGAACGGCACCAGCUUUUAUGCUUUUUAUGUUUAAUCUGUAAAAACCAUGGUUUUUUACAUGAAAAUAAGACCUUGCUCAUACCACACAUUACAACAGGCUUCAUUCGUGAUUCCUGAAUGUGGCUUACUAUUAAAAAAAAAAAAAAAACCCUAAAAACCCUGGUAAUGGAUAUUAGACACUGUAAUUGUACUUUGUAAAGAAUUUUCUCCUUCAGGAUCAAUUACACUUGGGCUCAUCAGCACCUUUGU
Molecule: long non-coding RNA, 1819 nt
Organism: Rhinopithecus bieti (black snub-nosed monkey)
Lineage: Eukaryota; Metazoa; Chordata; Mammalia; Primates; Cercopithecidae
Source: Ensembl